CCUACGGGAGGCAGCAGUAGGGGAUAUUGCUCAAUGGGGGAAACCCUGAAGCAGCAACGCCGCGUGGAGGAUGAAGGUUUUCGGAUUGUAAACUCCUUUUGUUAGAGAAGAUAAUGACGGUAUCUAACGAAUAAGCACCGGCUAACUCCGUGCCAGCAGCCGCGGUAAUACGGAGGGUGCAAGCGUUACUCGGAAUCACUGGGCGUAAAGAGCGCGUAGGCGGGAUAGCAAGUCAGAUGUGAAAUCCUAUGGCUUAACCAUAGAACUGCAUUUGAAACUGUUAUGCUAGAGUAUGGGAGAGGUAGGUGGAAUUCUUGGUGUAGGGGUAAAAUGCGUAGAGAUCAAGAGGAAUACUCAUUGCGAAGGCGACCUGCUAGAACAUAACUGACGCUGAGGCGCGAAAGCGUGGGGAGCAAACAGGAUUAGAUACCCCGGUAGUC
Molecule: ribosomal RNA, 440 nt
Filed under: uncultured bacterium
Lineage: Bacteria
Description: partial 16S ribosomal RNA
Rfam family: Bacterial small subunit ribosomal RNA
Source: RNAcentral